RNAcentral lists this ribosomal RNA (253 nucleotides) under uncultured Pelagibacterales bacterium. RNAcentral's name for it is "partial 16S ribosomal RNA". It matches the Rfam family "Bacterial small subunit ribosomal RNA", at positions 524 to 776 of the family's 1533-position model. Lineage: Bacteria; Pseudomonadati; Pseudomonadota; Alphaproteobacteria; Candidatus Pelagibacterales. The record is from RNAcentral.
UACGAAGGGACCUAGCGUAGUUCGGAAUUACUGGGCUUAAAGAGUUCGUAGGUGGUUAAAAAAGUUGAUGGUGAAAUCCCAAGGCUCAACCUUGGAACUGCCAUCAAAACUUUUUAGCUAGAGUAUGAUAGAGGAAAGUGGAAUUUCUAGUGUAGAGGUGAAAUUCGUAGAUAUUAGAAAGAACAUCAAAUGCGAAGGCAACUUUCUGGAUCAUUACUGACACUGAGGAACGAAAGCAUGGGUAGCGAAGAGG